RNAcentral lists this non-coding RNA (964 nucleotides) under Rhea americana (greater rhea). Its description in RNAcentral is "12S mitochondrial ribosomal RNA". It matches the Rfam family "Bacterial small subunit ribosomal RNA". The record is from RNAcentral. Lineage: Eukaryota; Metazoa; Chordata; Aves; Rheiformes; Rheidae.
AAAAGAAUUAGUACUAACCUUACUGUUAAUUUUAGCUAAACAUAUACAUGCAGUAUCCGCGCACCAGUGAUAAAUGCCCUCAGCGUCUACCCCCGCAGACCUAAGGAGCAGGUAUCAGGCGCACUAGAUCGUAGCCCAAGACGCCUUGCUCAGCCACACCCCCACGGGUAUUCAGCAGUAAUUGAUAUUAAGCAAUAAGUGCAAACUUGACUUAGUUAUAGCGACCGCNGGGUCGGUAAAUCUUGUGCCAGCCACCGCGGUCACACAAGAGACCCGAACUAACAGUAAUCGGCGUAAAGUGUGGUAACAUGUUAUCCAGCUAGCUAAGACCAAAAUGCAACUAAGCUGUCAUAAGCUAACGAUGCACCUAAAACCCCCAUAAAGAUGGUCUUAGUACCCACGAUCAAUUUAAGCCCACGAAAGCUAAGGCACAAACUGGGAUUAGAUACCCCACUAUGCUUAGCCCUAAAUCCCGAUACUUACCCCACCCAAGUAUCCGCCCGAGAACUACGAGCACAAACGCUUAAAACUCUAAGGACUUGGCGGUGCCUAAACCCACCUAGAGGAGCCUGUUCUAUAAUCGAUAACCCACGAUACACCCGACCAUCUCUUGCCCAUGCAGCCUACAUACCGCCGUCCCCAGCCCGCCUUAAAUGAGAGAACAACAGCAAGCAUAAUAGCUACCCGCUAGCAAGACAGGUCAAGGUAUAGCAUAUGAGAUGGAAGAAAUGGGCUACAUUUUCUAGUCUAGAACAGCCACGAAAGAGGGCAUGAAACACCCUCCGAAGGCGGAUUUAGCAGUAAAGUGGGAUCAGAAAGCCCACUUUAAGCCGGCCCUAGGGCACGUACAUACCGCCCGUCACCCUCCUCACAAGCUACCCUACUAAAUAAAUAAUACUACUAUUAGCUAAAGAUGAGGCAAGUCGUAACAAGGUAAGUGUACCGGAAGGUGCACUUAGCACAC